AUGCCCGCCUCUUCACGGGUAGGUCAAUUUCACUGGUUGAAAGUAAGAGACAGCUGAACCCUCGUGGAGCCAUUCAUACAAGUCCCUAUUUAAGGAACAAGUGAUUAUGCUACCUUUGCACGGUUAGGGUACCGCGGCCGUUAAACAUAUGUCACCGGGCAGGCGGUGCCUCUAAUACUGAUAAUGCUAGAGGUGAUGUUUUUGGUAAACAGGCGGGGUAAGAUUUGCCGAGUUCCUUUUACUUUUUUUAACCUUUCCUUGUGGGCAUGCCUGUGUUGGGUUAACAGUGAGGGUAAUAAUGGCUUGUUGGUUGAUUGUAGAUAUUGGGUAAAUUUAAAGUUGAACUAAGAUUCUAUCUUGGACAACCAGCUAUCACCAGGCUCGAUAGGUUUGUCGCCUCUACCUAUAAAUCUUCCCACUAUUUUGCUACAUAGACGGGUGUGCUCUUUUAGCUGUUCUUAGGUAGCUCGUCUGGUUUCGGGGGCCUUAGCUUUGGUUCUCUUUGCAAAGUUAUUUCUAGUUAAUUCAUUAUGCAAAAGGUACAGGGGUUAGUCCUUGCUGUAUUAUGCUUGGUUAUAAUUUUUCAUCUUUCCCUUGCGGUACUAUAUCUAUUGCGCC
This 618-nucleotide long non-coding RNA is filed under the name Homo sapiens (human). RNAcentral describes it as "long non-coding RNA NONHSAT090758.2". Lineage: Eukaryota; Metazoa; Chordata; Mammalia; Primates; Hominidae. The record is from RNAcentral.